RNAcentral lists this ribosomal RNA (716 nucleotides) under uncultured Anaplasma sp. Its description in RNAcentral is "partial 16S ribosomal RNA". It matches the Rfam family "Bacterial small subunit ribosomal RNA", at positions 532 to 1243 of the family's 1533-position model. Lineage: Bacteria; Pseudomonadati; Pseudomonadota; Alphaproteobacteria; Rickettsiales; Anaplasmataceae. The record is from RNAcentral.
GGGCCAACGUUUUUUGGAAAUUUUGGGGGUAAAAGGGCAAUUUGGCGGUUUUGUUAAAUUAAAAGGGAAAAUCCCGGGGUUUACCCCGGAGGUGCUUUUAAUUUUUCCAGGCUUGAGUCCGGGAGGGGGAAACGGGAAUUCUUGUGUUGAGGGGGAAAUUGUUGAUUUUUGGAGGGACCCCCAUGGGGGAGGCGGGUAUUUUGUUCCGUUCUUACGGUGAGGGGGGAAAACGUGGGGAGCCAACCAGAAUAGAUUCCCUGGUUGUUCCCCCCGUUAACGAAGAGUGGUGAAAGGGGGGGGGUUUUGUCUCUGUGUUGUAGCUAACGCGUUAAGCACUCCGCCUGGGGACUACGGUCGCAAGACUAAAACUCAAAGGAAUUGACGGGGACCCGCACAAGCGGUGGAGCAUGUGGUUUAAUUCGAUGCAACGCGAAGAACCUUACCACUUCUUGACAUGGAGAUUAGAUCCUUCUUAACAGAAGGGCGCAGUUCGGCUGGAUCUCGCACAGGUGCUGCAUGGCUGUCGUCAGCUCGUGUCGUGAGAUGUUGGGUUAAGUCCCGCAACGAGCGUAACCCUCAUCCUUAGUUGCCAGCGGGUUAAGCCGGGCACUUUAAGGAGACUGCCAGUGGUAAACUGGAGGAAGGUGGGGAUGAUGUCAAGUCAGCACGGCCCUUAUGGGGUGGGCUACACACGUGCUACACAUGGUGACUACAAU